AUUAUUCAUAAAAGUACACUUAAAAUACAUAAAUGCAUGUUUUUGUUUCAUUUUUUUUAUCUUUUUCUAUUGGGUAUUUUGACUUUUUUAGGUAGAGGAAUGUCUGCGACUAAGUCAAGGGCUACUGGAUAAGGGUUGUUGAUGGCAAAACAGGUUGGAGACUACAUAAGACUUUGACAGUUGGCGGGAAACCAUCAUCAACUGGAGAGAUGCCGGUAGAGGAAUGUCUGCGACUAAGUCAAGGGCUACUGGAUAAGGGUUGUUGAUGGCAAAACAGGUUGGAGACUACAUAAGACUUUGACAGUUGGCGGGAAACCAUCAUCAACUGGAGAGAUGCCGGUAGAGGAAUGUCUGCGACUAAGUCAAGGGCUACUGGAUAAGGGUUGUUGAUGGCAAAACAGGUUGGAGACUACAUAAGACUUUGACAGUUGGCGGGAAACCAUCAUCAACUGGAGAGAUGCCGGUAGAGGAAUGUCUGCGACUAAGUCAAGGGCUACUGGAUAAGGGUUGUUGAUGGCAAAACAGGUUGGAGACUACAUAAGACUUUGACAGUUGGCGGGAAACCAUCAUCAACUGGAGAGAUGCCGGUAAAAAGAUGGCCAUAAAACAGUGACCGCUGAUUCGCAUUGAGUUCUUUCUUACAUAUUGGAUGACCUAUGUUUUUUAUUGUUUAAAUCAUUGCGGCUUGGAAUGCUCUUUAAGAAAAGGUAGAGGAAUGUCUGCGACUAAGUCAAGGGCUACUGGAUAAGGGUUGUUGAUGGCAAAACAGGUUGGAGACUACAUAAGACUUUGACAGUUGGCGGGAAACCAUCAUCAACUGGAGAGAUGCCGGUAGAGGAAUGUCUGCGACUAAGUCAAGGGCUACUGGAUAAGGGUUGUUGAUGGCAAAACAGGUUGGAGACUACAUAAGACUUUGACAGUUGGCGGGAAACCAUCAUCAACUGGAGAGAUGCCGGUAAAAAGAUGGCCAUAAAACAGUGACCGCUGAUUCGCAUUGAGUUCUUUCUUACAUAUUGGAUGACCUAUGUUUUUUAUUGUUUAAAUCAUUGCGGCUUGGAAUGCUCUUUAAGAAAAGGUAUGGUUAUGGGGGUGUCUACGCGCAAAAGUUUGACUUUAUUUUUUGUUAAAGUUAUUGCUUUUACAUUGAAUUUGUGCAGGAAAUCUUUUGGUAUGUUGUGACCAAAAGGUUGUCAGUCUAUUGUUAUGAGGCUGUUUACGAUGCGCGUUGAACUAGCGCCAAACUUUUUACCAAAACUUUGAUAUUAAGAGCACUAUUAACGUUCAUUUGUGUUGCAUUUUGACCUAUUAUCCAAGUGAUUUACUUUUCCAUUAUUAUUUAAUCACCCUUUCAUCCAAUUUUUAAGAUGAAAUUACGGUGUUUACAAAACCAACCAAAACGAAAGUGAAACUGGAUGCAUUACGUUUCGCGAUGUAAACAUUAAAUAUUUGUUCAGUUUGAGGAAGCGAAUCGACAAUAGACGUUGGAAUAUGUAUGCAAUACAGACUAUCAUUGCCGAUUGUAGUACUGGCUAAAAAAUACCUUUUAUGACAGGUCAUGUAUAGAACGUUAAUCAAAAUAGUGACCAUAAAUCACUACAAAUGUCUGGGUUGAUCAUUAAUAUAAUUAAUGCACGUUUCUGAUCUAAUUGCCUGUAUCUAGUUGUAAUUACCAUGAUAUUGAUAAAAUUAAAACGUUUUUUUCAUAAAUUAACAUUACAUGUUUUAUUUUUAUCAUUUAGGUAAUAUAUAAUUGUAGCAUUAUCAUCAUUAAAUAUUCUGAAAAUAAUCUAAAUUAUCAUGAUUACUUUAAAGUAGAAUUUUUAAAUUUUUCUCAUUAUUUUUAAUGAAUUUCCACAUUUGCUUGAUUCAAAAUAAAAUGUACUAAUAAGGGUUUCAGUUUUUAAUUUUUAUCCAAUUUUUAGUUCGAUUAAAUUUAAAGUACUAACUACAUACAUGUAUGUGAAAUGCUCUUGAGUUCGUUUCCUAGGCCUAGAACCAGUACUUGGGUGUCUCUUGGAGAUUUCUUAAGAAUGCUCCCACACUGGGGAUCAAACCAGUGACCUCCAGACCAUUAGGUGGACACCACAUCCAUUACACAUCAGCGACCUUUAAUUAGUAAAUUACUUUAGUAUUGCAGCAUUAUAUAAUAUAAUGUUGCUACAUAUUUUUGGAAAAUGAUUAAUGUGCAGUACUAAAUAAAUC
Molecule: long non-coding RNA, 2202 nt
Organism: Dreissena polymorpha
Lineage: Eukaryota; Metazoa; Mollusca; Bivalvia; Myida; Dreissenidae
Exons: 13
Source: RefSeq, a predicted model, not a curated record